Molecule: long non-coding RNA, 301 nt
Organism: Humulus lupulus (European hop)
Lineage: Eukaryota; Viridiplantae; Streptophyta; Magnoliopsida; Rosales; Cannabaceae
Exons: 4
Source: RefSeq, a predicted model, not a curated record
CGUUGGAUGUCUCCACUUAUAAAUCACUACCAGCCUUCUUCUUCCUCACACGAACCCGAGAGCAAACCAGAGAGAAGAAUUGGGCGAUUUGGGGCUGCGUUUUUAGGGUUCUAAGGUUGUGAUUUUUGUGGUGAGAUUUUAGAGAGUAUUUUGCAUCAAAAUUCCAAUAUCAAUCACACAUUUGAGCGAAUUUGAUUACUAAGUGAAGUAACUUUGCUAGCUUUUGGAUUAAAGAUUGCAAGAGAAGAAUAUAUGGAUAAACAGUGGAUGUCAGCAAAUAGGUUAUCUGCGGAAUUUAGGA